RNAcentral lists this long non-coding RNA (381 nucleotides) under Elaeis guineensis (African oil palm). Its description in RNAcentral is "long non-coding RNA (EGUI_LNC064567)". The record is from RNAcentral. Lineage: Eukaryota; Viridiplantae; Streptophyta; Magnoliopsida; Arecales; Arecaceae.
GCAGUCGUUGGAGUCGUCGACGAGACCCGGCUCCCAUAGGAGUCCGGGCGGAGCUGUCUUGCAAUCAAGGUUAAAGGCGAAGUCCAGCUCCCGUCGGAGUCCGGACAAGGCUUACCAGCAGUUGAAGUUGAGGAUGGAGCCCGGCUCCCGUAGGAGUCCGGGCGGAGUCUGCUUGCUGCUGGAGUUAUUGGCAGAGUCCGGCUCCCGUAGGAGUUCGGAUGCAGUCUGUCUUGCAGUCGUUGGAGUCGUCGGCGAGACCCGGCUCCCGUAGGAGUCCGGGCGGAGCUGUCUUGCAAUCAAGGUUAAAGGCGAAGUCCGACUCCCGUCGGAGUCCGGACAAGGCUUACCAGCAGUUGAAGUUGAGGACGGAGUCCGGCUCCC